AACCUGGUUGGGUGGUCUGCCUUCACGGUACGUACUGCUCGGCCGGGUCCUACCUCUUGGUGAGCCGGCAUGCCCUUAAUUGGGUGUGUCGGGGAACCAGGACUUUUACCUUGAAAAAAUCAGAGUGUUCAAAGCAGGCAUAUUUGCUCGAAUACAUUAGCAUGGAAUAAUAGAAUAGGA
This 180-nucleotide ribosomal RNA is filed under the name uncultured Glomeromycotina. Its description in RNAcentral is "partial small subunit ribosomal RNA". The record is from RNAcentral. Lineage: Eukaryota; Fungi; Glomeromycota.